Molecule: ribosomal RNA, 510 nt
Filed under: uncultured bacterium
Lineage: Bacteria
Description: bacterial SSU rRNA
Rfam family: Bacterial small subunit ribosomal RNA
Source: RNAcentral
CGCAUUAAGUUCCCCGCCUGGGGAGUACGGCCGCAAGGCUAAAACUCAAAGGAAUUGACGGGGACCCGCACAAGCGGCGGAGCAUGCGGAUUAAUUCGAUGCAACGCGAAGAACCUUACCAAGGCUUGACAUAUACGAGAACGCUGCAGAAAUGUAGAACUCUUUGGACACUCGUAAACAGGUGGUGCAUGGUUGUCGUCAGCUCGUGUCGUGAGAUGUUGGGGUUAAGUCCCGCAACGAGCGCAACCCUCGUUCUAUGUUGCCAGCACGUAAUGGUGGGAACUCAUGGAAUACUGCCGGGGUCAACUCGGAGGAAGGUGGGGAUGACGUCAAAUCAUCAUGCCCCUUAUGUCUUGGGCUUCACGCAUGCUACAAUGGCCGGUACAAUGGGCUGCAAUACCGUAAGGUGGAGCGAAUCCCAAAAAGCCGGUCCCAGUUCGGAUUGAGGUCUGCAACUCGACCUCAUGAAGUCGGAGUCGCUAGUAAUCGCAGAUCAGCAACGCUGCGGUG